Molecule: ribosomal RNA, 307 nt
Filed under: uncultured bacterium
Lineage: Bacteria
Description: partial 16S ribosomal RNA
Rfam family: Bacterial small subunit ribosomal RNA
Source: RNAcentral
GGAUUAGAUACCCUGGUAGUCCCAGCUGUAAACGAUGGAUACUAGACGUAGGAACUGGAUUGACGGUUUCUGUGUCGCAGCUAACGCGUUAAGUAUCCCGCCUGGGGAGUACGGUCGCAAGACUAAAACUCAAAGGAAUUGACGGGGACCCGCACAAGCGGUGGAACAUGUGGUUUAAUUCGAUGAUACGCGAAGAACCUUACCUGGGUUUGACAUGUUAGUGAAAGUUUUCUGAAAAGAAUUCCCUUUAGGAGCUUGCUCUUAAACACUAUCACAGGUGGUGCAUGGCCGUCGUCAGCUCGUGCCG